AGAAGCCCCUCUCCCUCGUUUCCCGCCCCCUCUCCCAGUGCAGCCUUGUGCUUCGGCUUAACCUAAGUGAGGCGAUCAUUAGGAAAGGCAUUGGAGAGAAGACAGGAGCAUUUCCCCGAGGUGUCCGCAGGGUGCCACAAUGGAUGUGGGAUGACUGGAUAAUCACAGCAUGUGGCCACAGGGGGCCUCUGUGACCAUUCAUCUUGGUGUGCAGAUGUCACAUUGCCACUUCGAGUGACUGGAUUAGAGCGUCUGUCUGUCUUGGCAUCCUGUCCUCAGAACCCAUGCUGGAAUCUUUUGAUGUGGCUGGUGGUAGGCAUUUUCACGUUACCUCACGUUAUCCUUGGUUGGACCCUCUCUCUCUCUGGAAAGCUGGAAACAGAUAAGGAAGCUGUGGCCCACAGAGAUUAUGUAACUUGUGAAGGUAACACAUCCUGAACAGAGCCUGGAUCUGAAUCUUCUGACCCCGGAGUUCAAGCUCUUUACAUCACAGCUUCCAAGGAGGAAAAGUCCCCUAACUGAUGAAAGUGGCUCACCCUGAACGAAGGAGUCAAAGCCACAUGAAGGCCAUCACCCAGCUGCAGGGACUCACCCAAGGAAGUGGAGGAGGAAACCAGCUCACCU
Molecule: long non-coding RNA, 624 nt
Organism: Camelus dromedarius (Arabian camel)
Lineage: Eukaryota; Metazoa; Chordata; Mammalia; Artiodactyla; Camelidae
Exons: 4
Source: RefSeq, a predicted model, not a curated record